GUAUCUGUAGUUCAGUCGGUUAGAAUACCGGAUUGUGGUUCCGUAGGUCGUGAGUUCGAAUCUCACCAGAUACC
RNAcentral lists this transfer RNA (74 nucleotides) under Bacteroidales bacterium. RNAcentral describes it as "tRNA-His". It matches the Rfam family "tRNA". Rfam says of the family: Transfer RNA (tRNA) molecules are approximately 80 nucleotides in length. The record is from RNAcentral. Lineage: Bacteria; Pseudomonadati; Bacteroidota; Bacteroidia; Bacteroidales.